CUGGUGGCGUGCCUUAUACAUGCAAGUCGAGCGAGGACGCAGCAAUGCGAGCCGAGCGGCGAACGGGUGAGUAACGCGUGAGCAACCUGCCCCGAAGUCCGGAAUAGCCCUUCCAACGGAGGAUUAAUGCCGGAUGACGAGGAGCACCGAGUGGUGCUUUUUCCAAAGCCUAGGCGCUUCGGAGGGGCUCGCGUCCGAUUAGCUAGUUGGCGGGGCAGCGGCCCACCAAGGCGACGAUCGGUAGCCGGCCUGAGAGGGCGAACGGCCACAAUGGGACUGAGAUACGGCCCAUACUCCUACGGGAGGCAGCAGUAGGGAAUAUUGCGCAAUGGGGGGAACCCUGACGCAGCAACGCCACGUUGUGGGACGACGCCUUUCGGGGUGUAAACCACUGUCAGCGGGGACUAGCCCGCGGAGACAAUCCGCGCCGAAUGUACCCGCAGAGGAAGCACCGGCAAACUUCGUGCCAGCAGCGGC
Molecule: ribosomal RNA, 477 nt
Filed under: uncultured bacterium
Lineage: Bacteria
Description: bacterial SSU rRNA
Rfam family: Bacterial small subunit ribosomal RNA
Source: RNAcentral